ACAGAUUGGCAGAGCGAUCAUAUGCGGAAGACGCACCGUUUUGGAGGUAAGAGCCGUAUUUGGUAGCAGAGAGGUGCAUCUUGAUGUCGUCAAGGUUUUCACACUGGCACAGAUUGUUGUAAUCGGCGGUGGUGAGAAGCCCAGCACGGUGGCCCCUCACGAUCGCCUCCAAGUACCCGCCAUGGAUGUUGAACGUAAGCGCUUCGAAUCCGUACAUCCUUCUCUCCUUAACCUUCCGGAGAAUUACAGGAUAUUCAGAUCUCAAAGAACUUCUCGGGAGAUCUGAAGAAAAAAGAAAUUGAAGCAGAGAUCGACGCGAAGAAGAUAGCUGUGAAAUUGAUUGAUUAGUUUGCGAACUCGUCCGUGGCACGUUGAAACUACGAUUUUAUCCUUAGCACCGGUCUGCUAAAUCCAAGAAGAUAGUAGCUUUUUAAACCGUUCUAUUAAACCGAAGAAUGUAGCCUGCAAAAUUGAGAUUCCGAUAUUGUUUUUGGGUCUCGGCUUCAGAUGAACCAAAUGAUCAAUGGUGUUUUCGCCUUUUUUGGGUAAACUCUUGAAAAAUAGUCUACACUUGAAUAACUCGAAGUCUAUGAACUUUUUUACAAAUUUAAAAUUGAUUGCCAAUCAAAUAUAGCAUUUCGAGGAUUACAGUAGUUUACUGGAUGCAAAAUAUGGCAACAAAAAAAGACGAAUAAAUAGGAGAGAUUCUUAUUGGGAAAUUUUCAUACAUGCACUCUCACUCAGACAUAACAAUGAAUGUAAAACUGCAGAUUGUACAUGCAGAUUUCUCUGGUAAAAAAGGAGCAAUGAAGAAACCACCAACAACAAAAUUGGUUCUUUCUUCGUACUCUCCAAUAUUAAGACAUUACACUUCUAUGUGUUUCAACACUUCUUGCCAGACUCAGAACAUGUAAACGACACUGUCGUGGAUCCUCGACUUCUGGUUCUGUGCAACACACUCGGAUAUCCACAUCAGAUUCCUGAUCUCCUGCUCUCUCAACCUCAUAUACGCAAAGAAUACCGCAUAAUGGAACUGCAAACUCAGGUUUAAACAGCCACUGUUAGUCUUAGACAUGGGUCUAGAAACAGCUAUAACAACACAUCAUGUUAGGGGAAAGGGGAAACAAACCUGCUGCUCAAAGGCUAAGCAAAGCCUUCUGACUUCUUCUUCAUAAAACGCCUUGUCGAGCAUCUGGCUCUCUCCAUAAGACAUCUUGGAGAAUAUUGCUUGAUACGGAGGGUAUUUCUCCAUAACACCACGAACCUAUCAGUGAAUGAUAAUGAGAUUCAUUGAGCCAUAUUUUAAAACUUUAAUAUGUUUAUAAUAUAUCAGCUUGCGGAUCUAGCUACCUGAUCUAUAUCCUCGCAAAUAGCAAGCUCCUCGUGACCAUAUGGAUAGCUGUUAAAAGAAAUAUCAAAACCAUGGUGAUGGAAACCACUUUAGAAUAUUAUGCAAUCACUGAAUGGAAUUAUCAUUUGACUGUGGAAUUCUUCUUACAGGAGACCAAAGUUAGAGUACAGUUUCUUCCUGUCUUCUCUUGUGAGCUCAGUGCCAAUGCUGCACAGAAAAGAAAACCCAGUUUCAGUGCCAAUAUGAACAAAGCAACACUAUCAUGCGGAAGAUAUACAGCAGUAGUUACUAACCUAUUGAUGGUGAUAUUCACAGCUCUUCUGUCAGCUUCGAAGGCCAAAAGGUCAGACAUUAUCUCUGCUGUUGCCCCACCAAGUUUCUGUUUUGGAUACCCGACAAAAAGAUGGGGUUAGCUAGUAUAGGUGGAUUCUGAAUUUUUUUCAGAAAGUUUAGGAGUCGACUAGCACCUGACAGAACUUGUAAAAAUCCUCAAGGUAUGCUUUGUAGAGGGUAUUCCUCAUAAUCUCAAUGUUCAUGUCAUCAAGAUCCUACAAAAAAUAAACACUAUAAGAUUUGUACGUGAUAUAACAAUGGCACAAAACUGAAAACAAAAAACUACAAAUGAUAAAAAGUUUCAGUUUUGUACCUCCGAGGUUAAACAUUCAGAAAAGUACGGAGCAAGAGGAGUGUCCACAAGCACCAACCUGUAGAGUUCCCGCAUGUUCUGAGCAACUGCUAGUGUAGCAAUACUGGAAAACAGAAAGCAAUGAGAAAAACAUAAAGGUGAAAAAGAAAAGCGGUCUGAAGCAGCUACGGGAUGAGGUCUAGAAGAUGCAAAAGGUCGAUUCGAGUACCUGUCAAACAUGCCUAAAGGGUGACAUUUCUCGAUCAAUUCUUGAACAUCUCUCUCGUGCAGGGUUCCAGUAACAAUCAACACGACAUUGUCAAUCAUGUGGCCAUAUCUGCAUUACAAUAGUAAAAGAACAAACCCAAAAUCUCAAAGGGCAGCUAGCAUUUGAAGAAAAACAGAAUGACCAUAAUCUUUCCGUUAAACAUAGGGAAACGAAUAAUUGCUCAGUUUUGUUGCAGUCUCGGCAAAGGUAAAACUUUUAGGGAAGCAACAAUUCUUACAUUAUGAUGUACAUUGAGAAGGAUUUUGGCAACAAACUUACCUACCUUAAUUCUGGAAACUAAAAGAUGGGCCACCAAAGACAACAAUGUAGCAACCAUCCCCUAUUGAUCUAGAAUCAUGAUUUUACGGAAAAUGAGGAAUGCCUCGCUAACCUGAUGUACUCUAAGAAGGUUGACAUAGGCUCAGUUGCUUGGCAAAGCAUAUGCUUGUAAUCAUCAACAAGCUUGAGAGUGCACUUCUCCACAAUUGUGGUGGUAUGCAGAGGUGACGGUUCUGCAGCCAAGGAUAAAGAACAGUUUUUUUUUUACAAUAAUGAAGCAGAUUCAGAUACAAGGACUAACAAUUUUCUUAACAAGAAAUCGAGAAAUUGAGAGUCACUUUCUCGUCUAAAACAUCAGAUGUCAGAUCCAUUUAUGUAGAUGAAGGACAUUUAAAUCAUAACUACCAUCGGAAACCAAUUUCACAUCAGUCAUGACUCAUGGGGAAAUUUCACUAAUUCCCACAUCAAAUUAAGGACUGAUAUUUUUAAAUGCUUAAAACCCAUGAAACAAAAUCAAAGUCAAAUAAUCAAAUUCUUUACACAAAUGAGUCAAAUUUGGAGACAUCACGGAUCAUAUGUGAAAGACGCACCGUUUUGGAGGUACGAGCCGUAUUUGGUGGCGGAGAGGUGCAUCUUGAUGUCGUCAAGGUUUUCACACUGGCACAGAUUGUUGUAAUCGGCGGUGGUGAGAAGCCCAGCACGGUGGCCCCUCACGAUCGCCUCCAAGUAUCCGCCAUGGAUGUUGAAUGUAAGCGCCUCGAAUCCGUACAUCCUUCAAUUCUUUCCCCUUCCGGAGAU
Molecule: long non-coding RNA, 3321 nt
Filed under: Eutrema salsugineum
Lineage: Eukaryota; Viridiplantae; Streptophyta; Magnoliopsida; Brassicales; Brassicaceae
Description: long non-coding RNA (ESAL_LNC000461)
Source: RNAcentral